GCCCACAUAGCUCAGUAGGCAGAGCGUAUCCUUGGUAAGGAUAAGGUCACCGGUUCGAUCCCGGUUGUGGGCUCCA
RNAcentral lists this transfer RNA (76 nucleotides) under bacterium. RNAcentral's name for it is "tRNA-Thr". It matches the Rfam family "tRNA". From Rfam's summary of the family: Transfer RNA (tRNA) molecules are approximately 80 nucleotides in length. Their secondary structure includes four short double-helical elements and three loops (D, anti-codon, and T loops). Further hydrogen bonds mediate the characteristic L-shaped molecular structure. tRNAs have two regions of fundamental functional importance: the anti-codon, which is responsible for specific mRNA codon recognition, and the 3' end, to which the tRNAs corresponding amino acid is attached (by aminoacyl-tRNA synthetases). tRNAs cope with the degeneracy of the genetic code in two manners: having more than one tRNA (with a specific anti-codon) for a particular amino acid; and 'wobble' base-pairing, i.e. permitting non-standard base-pairing at the 3rd anti-codon position. The record is from RNAcentral. RNAcentral also lists the same sequence under 2 other names.